ACUGAGGGUGCGAGCGUUAAUCGGAAUUACUGGGCGUAAAGCGAGUGUAGGCGGUUACCUCAGUCGGAUGUGAAAGCCCCGGGCUUAACCUGGGAAUUGCAUUCGAUACUGGGUAGCUAGAGUUUGGUAGAGGUAAGUGGAAUUCCGGGUGUAGCGGUGAAAUGCGUAGAUAUCCGGAGGAACAUCAGUGGCGAAGGCGGCUUACUGGACCAAAACUGACGCUGAGGCUCGAAAGCGUGGGUAGCAAACAGG
Molecule: ribosomal RNA, 252 nt
Filed under: uncultured bacterium
Lineage: Bacteria
Description: partial 16S ribosomal RNA
Rfam family: Bacterial small subunit ribosomal RNA
Source: RNAcentral